GUAAAACGAGAGAGGAGUGGGCUGGUGUUGGGGCCCGGUGGGCUCGGCAGGGUGUCUUUUCCUGAAAUCCCCUCAGAAAGAUUGGCGGUUGAGAGGACAGGACUGGAGUCUGAUGAAUGAGAGGACGGAGUGUUUAAAACUGUGAUGAGUCGACCUGAUCCUGAGCUGAUGGUGACGAUGGCGAGUGGAGAAGCAGCUUGUGGGUCAAGCACGGGCUCUGCUCUUCAGUACAAAGAGGCUGUUGCUGGGCAGCUGCUCUGACAUCAUCCUCAGCAUCAUCAUGAACAACAGCAACACCAGCAGCAGAAAAGGGCUCGCCUUCUGAUUUCUCACCCUCCUCAGCUUUCAUUCAUAAAAAAAAAAAAAACCACUGCCUUGUGCGUCACACAGAGGAGGUGGAAGGAUGGAAGGGAGGGGAAGGAGUGAGGCUGUUACUGAAGCAAAACACCCACAGGCAAGCAAGCUCGCACCUCGAAUAUACACACACAGGUGCGCACAUAAACACACGCACACACAAAUACACACAAUCGCCAGAGGCACCGGCGGUCCUGUUGUCAUAGAUACCCUCGUCCUGAAAAAAAGUGUUAAUUUGUGUAUCUAAAAAGACCGAGGGGA
Molecule: long non-coding RNA, 615 nt
Organism: Epinephelus fuscoguttatus (brown-marbled grouper)
Lineage: Eukaryota; Metazoa; Chordata; Actinopteri; Perciformes; Serranidae
Exons: 3
Source: RefSeq, a predicted model, not a curated record